Molecule: ribosomal RNA, 482 nt
Filed under: uncultured bacterium
Lineage: Bacteria
Description: partial 16S ribosomal RNA
Rfam family: Bacterial small subunit ribosomal RNA
Source: RNAcentral
AUUGAACGCUGGCGGCAUGCUUUACACAUGCAAGUCGAACGGUAACAGGCCGCAAGGUGCUGACGAGUGGCGAACGGGUGAGUAAUGCAUCGGAACGUGCCCAGUCGUGGGGGAUAACUACUCGAAAGAGUAGCUAAUACCGCAUACGAUCUAUGGAUGAAAGCGGGGGACCGUAAGGCCUCGCGCGAUUGGAGCGGCCGAUGUCAGAUUAGGUAGUUGGUGGGGUAAAGGCUCACCAAGCCAACGAUCUGUAGCUGGUCUGAGAGGACGACCAGCCACACUGGGACUGAGACACGGCCCAGACUCCUACGGGAGGCAGCAGUGGGGAAUUUUGGACAAUGGGCGCAAGCCUGAUCCAGCAAUGCCGCGUGCAGGAAGAAGGCCUUCGGGUUGUAAACUGCUUUUGUACGGAACGAAACGGCUCUGGUUAAUACCCGGGGCUAAUGACGGUACCGGAAGAAUAAGCACCGGCUAAUUACGUG